UUGACCCGACUCCGCCCUCACUGGCCUUGUCUCCACUUGACCCCACCCACCUGCUCUUUCUCUCUGAACUGGACUGUUAGUCCAAGGGAAAUCUCACCCCACUGAGCUGUCGUCCUGCCUGUACCUUUUCUACCUUCAUUACCAUCUCUGUGGCAGGGGUAAUGAUUCUUAACUCCACAGUUACCUGCCAGACCCCAUCCACCUGUCCUUGACAGGUCCCCCCAAGGGGAUUUUUCCUCCAGCCCCACCCACAUCAGUCCUGCCCUCCGUUACCCCACCCUUUGGCCUUCUGCCACCCUUUGGCUCUCUUCCUCCCCACUACUGCUGUUAUUCCCAGUGUGGGCCCUUGAGACUGUAUGGAAACGAUCAUGGCUUUGUCCAAGGAGAACGGCAUCUCUCUGGUACACACAAGGAAGAUGACACAUGUCACCAACUGGGCAACCAGAUGCUGGAUAAGGAUGGAAAGACCUCUCUGGCCCAGCCAGCCUUCUGCACUUGGAAAUUCGUGCAGGGUGUACACAUGAGAGAAGAGUACUCAGAACCUAGGAAACAUCUAACUUGGACACCCAGAUGAAGACAGGCAAAGAUCCCCAGCAUCUGGCCUAAGGGUCUGGGUAUAUAAAAUCUGCAAGCCAAGGGA
Molecule: non-coding RNA, 640 nt
Organism: Ictidomys tridecemlineatus (thirteen-lined ground squirrel)
Lineage: Eukaryota; Metazoa; Chordata; Mammalia; Rodentia; Sciuridae
Source: RefSeq, a predicted model, not a curated record